This 739-nucleotide ribosomal RNA is filed under the name uncultured soil bacterium. RNAcentral describes it as "bacterial SSU rRNA". It matches the Rfam family "Bacterial small subunit ribosomal RNA", at positions 37 to 769 of the family's 1533-position model. The record is from RNAcentral.
UGGCGGCAGGCCUAACACAUGCAAGUCGAGCGGCAGCACGGGUACUUGUACCUGGUGGCGAGCGGCGGACGGGUGAGUAAUGCCUAGGAAUCUGCCUGGUAGUGGGGGAUAACGCUCGGAAACGGACGCUAAUACCGCAUACGUCCUACGGGAGAGAGCAGGGGACCUUCGGGCCUUGCGCUAUCAGAUGAGCCUAGGUCGGAUUAGCUAGUUGGUGAGGUAAUGGCUCACCAAGGCGACGAUCCGUAACUGAUCUGAGAGGAUGAUCAGUCACACUGGAACUGAGACACGGUCCAGACUCCUACGGGAGGCAGCAGUGGGGAAUAUUGGACAAUGGGCGAAAGCCUGAUCCAGCCAUGCCGCGUGUGUGAAGAAGGUCUUCGGAUUGUAAAGCACUUUAAGUUGGGAGGAAGGGCAUUAACCUAAUACGUUGGUGUCUUGACGUUACCGACAGAAUAAGCACCAGCUAACUCUGUGCCAGCAGCCGCGGUAAUACAGAGGGUGCAAGCGUUAAUCGGAAUUACUGGGCGUAAAGCGCGCGUAGGUGGUUUGUUAAGUUGGAUGUGAAAUCCCCGGGCUCAACCUGGGAACUGCAUUCAAAACUGACAAGCUAGAGUAUGGUAGAGGGUGGUGGAAUUUCCUGUGUAGCGGUGAAAUGCGUAGAUAUAGGAAGGAACACCAGUGGCGAAGGCGACCACCUGGACUGAUACUGACACCGAGGUGCGAAAGCGUGGGGAGC